AAAUUGAAGAGUUUGAUCAUGGCUCAGAUUGAACGCUGGCGGCAGGCCUAACACAUGCAAGUCGAGCGGUAGCACAGAGAGCUUGCUCUCGGGUGACGAGCGGCGGACGGGUGAGUAAUGUCUGGGAAACUGCCUGAUGGAGGGGAUAACUACUGGAAACGGUAGCUAAUACCGCAUAACGUCGCAAGACCAAAGUGGGGGACCUUCGGGCCUCAUGCCAUCAGAUGUGCCCAGAUGGGAUUAGCUAGUAGGUGGGGUAACGGCUCACCUAGGCGACGAUCCCUAGCUGGUCUGAGAGGAUGACCAGCCACACUGGAACUGAGACACGGUCCAGACUCCUACGGGAGGCAGCAGUGGGGAAUAUUGCACAAUGGGCGCAAGCCUGAUGCAGCCAUGCCGCGUGUGUGAAGAAGGCCUUCGGGUUGUAAAGCACUUUCAGCGGGGAGGAAGGCGAUAAGGUUAAUAACCUUGUCGAUUGACGUUACCCGCAGAAGAAGCACCGGCUAACUCCGUGCCAGCAGCCGCGGUAAUACGGAGGGUGCAAGCGUUAAUCGGAAUUACUGGGCGUAAAGCGCACGCAGGCGGUCUGUCAAGUCGGAUGUGAAAUCCCCGGGCUCAACCUCGGGAACUGCAUUCGAAACUGGCAGGCUAGAGUCUUGUAGAGGGGGGUAGAAUUCCGGUGUAGCGGUGAAAUGCGUAGAGAUCUGGAGGAAUACCGGUGGCGAAGGCGGCCCCCCUCGGACAAAGACUGACGCUCAGGUGCGAAAGCGUGGGGAGCAAACAGGAUUAGAUACCCUGGUAGUCCACGCCGUAAACGAUGUCGAUUUGGAGGUUGUGCCCUUGAGGCGUGGCUUCCGGAGCUAACGCGUUAAAUCGACCGCCUGGGGAGUACGGCCGCAAGGUUAAAACUCAAAUGAAUUGACGGGGGCCCGCACAAGCGGUGGAGCAUGUGGUUUAAUUCGAUGCAACGCGAAGAACCUUACCCCGGUCUUGACAUCCACAGAACUUUCCAGAGAUGGAUUGGUGCCUUCGGGAACUGUGAGACAGGUGCUGCAUGGCUGUCGUCAGCUCGUGUUGUGAAAUGUUGGGUUAAGUCCCGCAACGAGCGCAACCCUUAUCCUUUGUUGCCAGCGGUCCGGCCGGGAACUCAAAGGAGACUGCCAGUGAUAAACUGGAGGAAGGUGGGGAUGACGUCAAGUCAUCAUGGCCCUUACGACCAGGGCUACACACGUGCUACAAUGGCAUAUACAAAGAGAAGCGACCUCGCGAGAGCAAGCGGACCUCAUAAAGUAUGUCGUAGUCCGGAUUGAGUCUGCAACUCGACUCCAUGAAGUCGGAAUCGCUAGUAAUCGUAGAUCAGAAUGCUACGGUGAAUACGUUCCCGGGCCUUGUACACACCGCCCGUCACACCAUGGGAGUGGGUUGCAAAAGAAGUAGGUAGCUUAACCUUCGGGAGGGCGCUUACCACUUUGUGAUUCAUGACUGGGGUGAAGUCGUAACAAGGUAACCGUAGGGGAACCUGCGGUUGGAUCACCUCCUUA
This 1541-nucleotide ribosomal RNA is filed under the name Klebsiella pneumoniae. RNAcentral describes it as "bacterial SSU rRNA". It matches the Rfam family "Bacterial small subunit ribosomal RNA". Lineage: Bacteria; Pseudomonadati; Pseudomonadota; Gammaproteobacteria; Enterobacterales; Enterobacteriaceae. The record is from RNAcentral.